AUGGUGAUAUGGGCUGAUACAUUGCUAAAUUACAUGAUACAAACUCACUUCUUUUUUGAUUUUUGGUUUACUUUGUUGUGCUACAAUGGCUCUCCUAGGAAUGUUCUUCCAUGCUUUGAUGUGCACAAUCCAGAAAGUGCAUGCAUCCAGAAACCAAAUAGGAUUUUUUUGUGUUAUCUUCUCUUAAAUCUUGUGCUUGUCCAAUAA
This 207-nucleotide ribosomal RNA is filed under the name Triticum aestivum (bread wheat). RNAcentral describes it as "partial small subunit ribosomal RNA". The record is from RNAcentral. Lineage: Eukaryota; Viridiplantae; Streptophyta; Magnoliopsida; Poales; Poaceae.